Molecule: long non-coding RNA, 543 nt
Filed under: Homo sapiens (human)
Lineage: Eukaryota; Metazoa; Chordata; Mammalia; Primates; Hominidae
Description: non-protein coding lnc-CEP83-22:1
Source: RNAcentral
UUUUUAUGCUGGGGUUUGAUGAAGAAUGGACAGCUGUGUAGGCCUGCAACUGGAUAAAAAGGACUGGAGUGUGUGCCAGAGGGCGUGCCAAGCUACAAGACAAUCACCUUCGAUUUCCCUGGAGAGUCAAUUUGACCAUAAGGAAUGACCGAAGGAUUGGGGAAGAAAAUACUCCCCCUGCUGAUGCUCCUUUGGUUCUACUUGGGAGUGAAGCUCACAAGAGGAGGGACUGCAAUAAACGUUCCCCAGAUGAUGCAGAGGUCUCUCUCUGCUGACAGUUAAUACCUUGCCUCCAAGCCUGAAUCGCCUUCCUGUCUGCGGGGUGUCUGAACGAACACAGCAAGAUGUGCAGGUCACUGAGUUAGAAGAAGUCGGCAGGGCCUAAGGCCUUCUGCAAGGUGUGACUCUCUCCCUCCAUACUGAGAACAUUUUGAAGUGACUUCAGAGGCUGCAGGGCUUGGGAAGUCCCAUGAGAACCGCUCCCCUUUCCCAAGGCACCGACAUGGCCUGUAGCCAGGCAUUGCUGUUUCUCAGCAGACUGAU